GGUUUGGUCCUGACUUUACUAUCAACUUUAGCUAGACUUACACAUGCAAGUAUCCGCACCCCUGUGAGAAUGCCCCACAGUUCCCUGUUUGGGAACAAGGAGCUGGUAUCAGGCACAACCCACCUACAAGCCCAUGACACCUUGCUUAGCCACACCCUCAAGGGAACUCAGCAGUGAUAAACAUUAAGCCAUAAGUGAAAACUUGACUUAGUUAAAGCUAAGAGGGCCGGUAAAACUCGUGCCAGCCACCGCGGUUAUACGAGAGACCCAAGUUGAUAGACACCGGCGUAAAGAGUGGUUAAGAUUUAUCCAAAACUAAAGCCGAACGCCCUCAGAGCUGUUAUACGCACCCGAGGGUUAGAAGCCCAACCACGAAGGUGGCUUUAAACAAUCCGAACCCACGAAAGCUAUGACACAAACUGGGAUUAGAUACCCCACUAUGCCUAGCCAUAAACAUCGAUAGUAAACUACCCCUACUAUCCGCCCGGGGACUACGAGCAUCAGCUUAAAACCCAAAGGACUUGGCGGUGCUUUAGAUCCACCUAGAGGAGCCUGUUCUAGAACCGAUUACCCCCGUUCAACCUCACCUUUCCUUGUUUCUCCCGCCUAUAUACCACCGUCGUCAGCUUACCCUGUGAAGGACUGAUAGUAAGCAAGAUUGGCAUAGCCCAAAACGUCAGGUCGAGGUGUAGCGUAUGGAAAGGGAAGAAAUGGGCUACAUUCCCUAACAUAGUGAAAUACGAACGAUGCACUGAAAUACGCAUCUGAAGGAGGAUUUAGCAGUAAGCAGAAAAUAGAGCGUUCUGCUGAAACCGGCCCUGAAGCGCGCACACACCGCCCGUCACUCUCCCCAAGCUUACUUAUUCUAAGUACCUAAGACCCUAAAACUGCAAAGGGGAGGCAAGUCGUAACAUGGUAAGUGUACCGGAAGGUGCACUUGGAAAAAU
Molecule: non-coding RNA, 947 nt
Filed under: Lutjanus griseus (grey snapper)
Lineage: Eukaryota; Metazoa; Chordata; Actinopteri; Lutjaniformes; Lutjanidae
Description: partial small subunit ribosomal RNA
Rfam family: Bacterial small subunit ribosomal RNA
Source: RNAcentral